RNAcentral lists this unclassified non-coding RNA (240 nucleotides) under soil metagenome. RNAcentral's name for it is "partial contains 5.8S ribosomal RNA, internal transcribed spacer 2, and large subunit ribosomal RNA". The record is from RNAcentral.
AACGGUCUAUACCUGCGGUACCUGCGGAAGGAUCAUUAAUGAAUAACUAUGGUGUCUUGGUUGUAGCUGGCUCUUCGGAGCAAUGUGCACGCCCGCCAUUUUUAUCUAUCCACCUGUGCACCGACUGUAGGUCUGGAUAACUCUCGCUACUUCUCCUUUACUGGAGAGGUGCGGAUGCGAGGAUUGCUCGUAAGGGCUCUCUUCGAAUUUCCAGGCUCUACGUCUUUUACACACCCCAAU